RNAcentral lists this long non-coding RNA (597 nucleotides) under Homo sapiens (human). RNAcentral's name for it is "HSALNT0243680". Lineage: Eukaryota; Metazoa; Chordata; Mammalia; Primates; Hominidae. The record is from RNAcentral.
CUAAGUAUGAGGAUAGCUACUAUUUAUUAAGCAGUAGGGUGCUAAGGGUGGGGCUUCUUUUACAUGAUCUUCUUGCAAAUGGUAUUAUUAUCCCCAAUUUUCAGAUGAGGAAACUGAGGAUUAGAGACAAUAAAUAAAUUGGCCAAAGCCAUUCAGCUAGUCAACGGCAGAGCCAAAAUGUGAAUUUAAUUUGUCUGACUCCAAAGCCCAGGCAUUCCUACUACAUCAUACCAAGCUGAAAAAGGGGGUGCCUUCUGUCCAGAGGGCUCACAGUGCCAGACACAGGGGCUGCCAAGAGGUGACAAAGCUGUCUCUUCUCAUGCUCAUCCCUCAGUAGAGGAGAUUUUGACAACUCAAGAAAAAUAAAGAGCCACAAAGUAAAACAGCCAAAGUCACGAAGGUAUAAAGGAGAAGCCAUGUGGAGCUCAAGCUUGCUAAGGAGUGGGACAGCCAGGACCGACCUGGGAAUGCCCAGAGCGGGGUAUCACGGAGGAGGAAACUAAUGGGAAGAAGGGAGUGUGCAUCUGGCAGGGAAACACAGAGCCCGGGCUAUUUCUUCCCUGGUGCCCCGCCCCUCCACCUUGGGGGAGGGCCCUG